RNAcentral lists this ribosomal RNA (490 nucleotides) under uncultured bacterium. Its description in RNAcentral is "partial 16S ribosomal RNA". It matches the Rfam family "Bacterial small subunit ribosomal RNA", at positions 30 to 507 of the family's 1533-position model. The record is from RNAcentral.
AUUGAACGCUGGCGGCAGGCCUAACACAUGCAAGUCGAGCGGAAGCAGGAAGAUUCUUCCUUCUUUCCGGGCGAGUCGGGGGCGUGAGAGUAAUGUCUGUGACACUGCGUGAUGGAGGGGGUUAACUACUGGAAACGGAAACUAAAACCGCCUAACGUCGGAAGAGCAGGGAUCUUGAGCUUCCGGCCUCUUUGCUGCGGCUGUGCCCAGGUGGCAUUAGCUAGUAGGUGGGGUAAAGGCCUACCGAGGCGACGAUCCGUAGCUGGUCUGAGAGGAUGAUCAGCCACACUGGAACUGAGACACGGUCCAGACUCCUACGGGAGGCAGCAGUGGGGAAUAUUGCACAAUGGGCGAAAGCCUGAUGCAGCCAUGCCGCGUGUGUGAAGAAGGUCUUCGGAUUGUAAAGCACUUUUAGUGGGGAGGAAGGGAAGUAAGUUAAUACCUUGCCGUAUUGACGUUACCAACAGAAGAAGCACCGGCUAACUUCGUG